Molecule: ribosomal RNA, 439 nt
Filed under: uncultured bacterium
Lineage: Bacteria
Description: partial 16S ribosomal RNA
Rfam family: Bacterial small subunit ribosomal RNA
Source: RNAcentral
CUACGGGUCGCUCCAGUGGGGAAUAUUGGACAAUGGGCGAAAGCCUGAUCCAGCCAUGCCGCGUGGAUGAAGAAGGCCCUAGGGUUGUAAAGUCCUUUCGGUGGUGAAGAUAAUGACGGUAACCACAGAAGAAGCCCCGGCUAAUUUCGUGCCAGCAGCCGCGGUAAUACGAAAGGGGCUAGCGUUGUUCGGAAUUACUGGGCGUAAAGCGCACGUAGGCGGCCUUGUAAGUUGGGGGUGAAAUCCCGGAGCUCAACUCCGGAACUGCCUUCAAAACUACAAAGCUAGAGGAUGUGAGAGGAUAGUGGAAUUCCGAGUGUAGAGGUGAAAUUCGUAGAUAUUCGGAAGAACACCGGUGGCGAAGGCGACUGUCUGGCACAUUUCUGACGCUGAGGUGCGAAAGCGUGGGGAGCAAACAGGAUUAGAUACCCGCGUAGUC